This 453-nucleotide ribosomal RNA is filed under the name uncultured Porphyromonadaceae bacterium. RNAcentral's name for it is "partial 16S ribosomal RNA". It matches the Rfam family "Bacterial small subunit ribosomal RNA", at positions 341 to 792 of the family's 1533-position model. The record is from RNAcentral. Lineage: Bacteria; Pseudomonadati; Bacteroidota; Bacteroidia; Bacteroidales; Porphyromonadaceae.
ACGGAAGGCAGCAGUGAGGAAUAUUGGUCAAUGGGCGGAAGCCUGAACCAGCCAAGUCGCGUGAAGGAUGAAGGUAUUAUGUAUUGUAAACUUCUUUAGCAGCAGAGUAAUAAGAGGGUCGUGACCUCCGAUGCAAGUAUGCUGAAAAUAAGGAUCGGCUAACUCCGUGCCAGCAGCCGCGGUAAUACGGAGGAUCCGAGCGUUAUCCGGAUUUAUUGGGUUUAAAGGGUGCGCAGGCGGUUUUUUAAUUCAGUGGUUAAACCGUGAGGCUCAACCUCAUCACGCCAUUGAUACUGGAAGACUUGAUUGCGGUUGAGGUUGGCGGAAUUCGUCGUGUAGCGGUGAAAUGCAUAGAUAUGACGAAGAACACCGAUUGCGUAGGCAGCUGACCAAGCCGUAAAUGACGCUCAUGCACGAAAGUGCGGGGAUCGAACAGGAUUAGAUACCCUGGUA